GAUGAACGCUGGCGGUAUGCUUAACACAUGCAAGUCGUACGAAGAUCUUUGAUCUUAGUGGCGGACGGGUGAGUAACACGUGAGAAUCUGCCCUUAGGAAGAGGGUAACAGCUGGAAACGGUUGCUAAUACUCUAUACGCCGAGAGGUAAAAGGAUUUAUCCACCUUAGGAAGAGCUCGCGUCUGAUUAGCUUGUUGGUAAGGUAAGAGCUUACCAAGGCGACGAUCAGUAUCUGGUUUGAGAGGACGAUCAGACACACUGGAACUGAGACACGGUCCAGACUCCUACGGGAGGCAGCAGUGGGGGAAUUUUCCGCAAUGGGCGAAAGCCUGACGGAGCAAUACCGCGUGAGGGAAGAAUGCCUAUGGGUUGUAAACCUACUUUUUUCAGGGUAGGAAUAAAAUGACGUGUACCUGAAGAAUAAGACAUCGGCUAACUCCGUGCCAGCAGCCGCGGU
RNAcentral lists this ribosomal RNA (457 nucleotides) under uncultured bacterium. RNAcentral describes it as "bacterial SSU rRNA". It matches the Rfam family "Bacterial small subunit ribosomal RNA", at positions 28 to 521 of the family's 1533-position model. The record is from RNAcentral.